AACGAACGCUGGCGGCAGGCCUAACACAUGCAAGUCGAGCGAGGACUUCGGUCCUAGCGGCGGACGGGUGAGUAACGCGUGGGAACGUGCCCUUUGCUUCGGAAUAGCCCUGGGAAACUGGGAGUAAUACCGGAUGAGCCCUUUGGGGGAAAGAUUUAUCGGCGAAGGAUCGGCCCGCGUUGGAUUAGGUAGUUGGUGGGGUAAUGGCCUACCAAGCCGACGAUCCAUAGCUGGUUUGAGAGGAUGAUCAGCCACACUGGGACUGAGACACGGCCCAGACUCCUACGGGAGGCAGCAGUGGGGAAUCUUAGACAAUGGGGGAAACCCUGAUCUAGCCAUGCCGCGUGAGCGAUGAAGGCCUUAGGGUCGUAAAGCUCUUUCAGCUGGGAAGAUAAUGACGGUACCAGCAGAAGAAGCCCCGGCUAACUCCGUG
RNAcentral lists this ribosomal RNA (433 nucleotides) under uncultured bacterium. RNAcentral's name for it is "partial 16S ribosomal RNA". It matches the Rfam family "Bacterial small subunit ribosomal RNA", at positions 29 to 507 of the family's 1533-position model. The record is from RNAcentral.